CGCGGGAGGCGGGGAGAGCGGCGGGCCCGCCUCGGGGCCGGGCUGAGCUCAGCGCCUCCUCCCGUCGGGCCGUUGGUGCCGGCCGGGGUGGGUUGUAUGCGCCUGCGCGUGAGGGGCUGGAAGGGAGGGGCGCGAAGUGGUGCCGUCCGUCCGGCUGCUCCGGUCUGGGGACGGACACCAGCGAAGAACGAGUGGAUUUUAUGCAGUUACUGUUUUUAGGAGACAGGAAUAGUUUGGGAAAAAGUGUGUAUAGAUCCUUGGGACGAAUUCCAAGUCUGAGCAGCGGGUAGGGCAUCUGGGUCCCUGUGCAACAGGAGGGCGGCAGGGCAGCAUCCCUACAUCCCUUUCCUGUUAGCCCCACUUCAAAGCACACUUGGUAACUCCCAGGGAAACCUAAGCAUGACGGAAUCGAGGCAUCAGGCUGAUGGGGACAGAUGUUGGCCAGACUCUGUGCACAGGUCCACCCUAUAGGAACCAAGGAGCCUGACAGGCACAAAAGACACCUUCAAACUCUGGUUGGCCGUCACCUUUCAAGGGGGAAACCCAGAGUCAUAAUGAGGGCAUGUGCUGGGCGGCAUCUUGUGCCCCCACUUCUGACUGAAACCUACAAAAGAAUGUGAAACAGGGAGGAAAAUCCACUUCUCCAGCUCUAAGGAAAGCCACCCAGGCAGAAAUCCCACCCAGGUUUCUCUGCAUGAGCCACCGGAGCAGGUAGCAACACCAUUUCUUGAAAGCUCCAGCCAGGCCCCACCUCAGGCAGGCCUGGGCAUAUUCACCCAGGAAGCCAAUUGCUCCUAAACACCAUCUGCAGCCAGAAGCCUGCAGGAGAGCACAGCAAUAGCUCCUGGGUGCUCCUUCCUCCCUGUAAAAGCCCAUUCCAGCACUCUCAUGGGUAGCUCCAUUCCACGUUCAAAAAAAAGCAAGGCUGCAAUUAGCCCCAGGCCGCCCCAGAGGCAGGACCCAAGCACUGGAACUGGGAAACAAAGCAAACAGCUAAGCUUCUCCUUGAGAUUUAGAUCACUUUUAUUUUGUUGUUUUGGCGAGGAUGUGUCGGUGCGGUGCGUGUACGUCUGGGCAUGCAUGUGUGUGUGCGCAGAGUCCUGCCCAGGUACGUAAAUGAUGUGAAUACCUGCAAUUACAGUUCAUUAACUGAGCCACGAAGCGCGUGGUGAGUGCUACACUGAGGCCUUGACUCUUCUUGUGCUUACUGCGGUGCAGCAUCUCCAUCUCCCCACGCUGCCCUUCCAAGGAUGGCAGCCCAAGAUCCCAACCAAAGAGCGGAGCUGAGCUCCAGCACCUGGCUCUGUAGGAGUGAGCUGGAGGGCUUCCACAUCGCUUAGCCAACUCCUAAAUAACAUCUGCGGUUCCCUUUAACAAAGCCACAUCUGCCUUUCACAGCAAGGGACCCCCGCUGCUCUGACAAACUUCAACCAGGUCAGAGGAACAAAGGAGAAAUGGGAACAGGACAGGGACCCCAUUUAAGCUCUAGUGCUACGGCACAGCCGAGCACACCUGAGGAUGCUGCAAGGGAGAGAACGUGUACUUCCACAGCCCCCAGUCUCUUCCCUUUGAUUUCAGAGGCCACAAGGCAGGAUAACCCCCAGUCUGAUGUCUUUUUCCGUUCUGCUUUACAGUUGAAUCCUCCAAACUCAGAGUGGAGACAGAAUGCAGAAAGGGGACUAGUCAAAUCCAUCUUGGCAGUGUAGCAGGCUGAACCCAUCUUAUUUCUAUGACUUUUUUGCCUUCAGCAGAGUUAAAACAGAGUGACCCCACCACCUAGGAUCCUCUGCAGUUGUCAACUCCGGCAAGCCCUAAGAUGAGCUAGAUAGACAACAUCACCCUUUGGGCUCUACCUCAACAUAUUUGGAUGCUGUUUUGGGACAUGCAGUUUCUUCAGUGUUACACAGACUCAGCAGAAGGCAGAGUUGCUAUUGUGAGAGUUUCAUUUGGACGGAUGCAUGUUUGAAUCUCAUGUUUUGCUUCCACGUGUAACACAAGAUACUCCAGUAUGAGCUCCAGGUGCUGAAAGCCUUACAGCUCUGCUUCCAAGUCCACGUGCACCAGUUUCAUCAUUAAAUUAACUGGUUAGGCAAGCAAGAGGUCUGCAAACCAAUGAGCAAAACCAGUGCACGGCCCUCUUGAGUGAAGUGAGGAUCAAGUAUCAGGAGAUUCGUCUCCUCUUCCAAAGGUGUUACAGUCACCAUCAGUUCCACAGGGAGACAACUGACGCCCCAGUCCUAUCUGCCCUCUUUCUUCAUUGGACGCUUGCUGUAAAGUCUGUAGGGCGCUCUGCAGAGGCCUUGGCCAUUUUCUAGCAGUUCAGUAACUCUCAGAGCAAGGACAAGAGCAGAGUAGGAAUGCAUGCUCUGAACUGGAUACCUCUGUUCUUAGAGCAACGUCUUCAAGCCCUCUUUCCUUAAGGCUUGACUCAAGAAAAAUGAAAGUUCCCUCAAACAUACAGGGCACUCAUCCCUGGGGCUCAGUGAUGUUGCAUGGAGUCUAAGAGACAGGAGCUCAGCAAAGGGAUGCUGUGUGCAGAGGAUUCCAGGACACAUCCUUAAAAGAGAGAAGCAGCAAAACCAAAAGGGCUAGCAGCCACUUGGCACGGUUUUCCUGCACAGAUCUCUCACUUGGCAGUUGCAAAGGGGAGACAUUUCUGAGCUGCAUAGAAAAUUAAAUGGCUUUAGCAUAUAAAAAAAAAAAUACAGAUGAAAACAGUUACACCAGUUACUAAACAGUGGGCGGAUGAGUGAUCCCAAUUUCAUUUUAAAUAACUCGACUGAUCUCCACACUGCCAUACUCCCAGCGUUAUGGCUUCAGUACAUGGAACGGGCUGGGUGCCUGCUGCCUGCAGAGGGCAGCUAACGCUGAGCUCCUGAUGAGGUGGCAGCAGGGCUGCAGUCCCACGGAGCAGGCUGUAAGGUGUCUGCUCUGUCCUCUUGCUCCUUUAGCACUCCUGAAUCCCACACCAGCUGGGCGCACCGGGAAGCUGAUCUCCUGUCUGGAGAAGGAUUCCAGUGGGUGAUAUCUUUGCAACGUGGAUUUCACGCAACAGCUCAGCAAUAAAUCACUAUUUUCUUCCUACAGAGGAUGGAAAGAGAGGCAGCAAAACUUUGGACGUGGAAGUUUUCUAGAACUAUUCUGAGCACCAUUUGGAGAGAUCUCACCUCCCUCCUACCACCACAGGCAAUUCCUGGUGAGUUUAUAGAAGCAAGGUGUAUAGAAGUACAAUCAUUAAUGCUUCUCACUGGUACGAGAAAUGUUUAAAAGCCCAUUACCGGAGGUGGCAGGUCGACACAUGAAGGCUGAGCCUAGGCUCCCUCCUGGCUGGAAUGAUACUCCAAAAAGAUAGCAAGUUGACUGAGCUGCAAGCUUUUAUUUGGCUGCUUUCCAUGCUGAAGUUAGGAACAACGGCUUUCUUCUUUAUACCUGGGCCCCACGAUUUCCCACUAGAACGGAUUCUGCUCUGCAUUUCCCAACAUGAAAGCUCCUGACAAAGGGGCUAUUUACAGCCAGGCUGAUAUUUUAAGGACCAGAAUUUAGGAGAAUGUCACAGCAGGUCCCCACUUGCCUGCUCCUCCAACACACCCUUACCACUACGUAGCAGAGCAUACACGACUGCAUAAGGAAGGAAAUAUUUCCUAGGAUGCUUCUCCCCCUGCACUGCAGGCCAUGACCUGAGCCCGCUGUGUGGGACACAGUCCAGUGUUUUUGCACUGAAACAACUUUAAAGGCUUCACAGAACCAACCCCCCUUUCCCACAAAGCCUUGGCCAAUUGCCACAAAACUCACUUGUCCAGGAACAAAUCCAGGGAAUUCUGCUACAGCUCACUUCAAGAGAUUUUCCUCCAAGCAGGUCUGAAUUAAAUGGAACCAAGAACAAUUUUACAUUCAUCAUGAGAUCCCAAUGAGUUUCAAUACGCAAUCAGUGGGUCCACAGAAUCCUAUCCCCAGUGCUUUUCUUCUGGCUGGCAGCCCUGCCAUCUGCAGCAAUUGCUUUGCUUCAUGUCUCGUUGUCAUAUCCAGCUUGCAGGUGACCGUGUCCACUCCAGCCAUGAAGCCUGCACCUGCGAACUGCCCUGCCCUGUGGCAUCUCAGAGUCCCAAAUUACCACCGAUCCCUGUCAGCAUGCAACUCCACAACUGGACAUGGGAGCACUGUA
Gallus gallus (chicken) is the source of this 4162-nucleotide long non-coding RNA. RefSeq lists it as uncharacterized. The record is from RefSeq and is a predicted model, not a curated record. The transcript is spliced from 2 exons. NCBI's taxonomy places the organism in Eukaryota, Metazoa, Chordata, Aves, Galliformes, Phasianidae.